GCCUGGCCGUAAACUUUUAAUUACACCCCAAUCGCCCGGGAACUACAAGCAAAGCUUAAAACCCAAAGGACUUGACGGUACCCCAUAUCCCCCUAGAGGAGCCUGUCCUAUAAUCGAUAACCCCCGUUUAACCUCACCAUUUUUAGUUUAUCAGCCUGUAUACCUCCGUCGUCAGCUUACCACGUGAGCGAAACCCAGUGAGCUUAAUGCCUAUACACCAAUACGUCAGGUCAAGGUGCAGCAAAUGAAAUGGGAAGAGAUGGGCUACACUUUCUAAUGUAGAAAAUACGAAAAACUAUUUAUGAAACCUAGUCAGAAGGCGGAUUUAGCAGUAAAAAGAAACUAGAGCGUUCUUUUUAACCUUGG
This 366-nucleotide ribosomal RNA is filed under the name Batrachyla antartandica (marbled wood frog). Its description in RNAcentral is "partial 12S ribosomal RNA". It matches the Rfam family "Bacterial small subunit ribosomal RNA", at positions 794 to 1377 of the family's 1533-position model. Lineage: Eukaryota; Metazoa; Chordata; Amphibia; Anura; Batrachylidae. The record is from RNAcentral.